Molecule: ribosomal RNA, 253 nt
Filed under: uncultured bacterium
Lineage: Bacteria
Description: partial 16S ribosomal RNA
Rfam family: Bacterial small subunit ribosomal RNA
Source: RNAcentral
GACAGAGGUGCCGAGCGUUAGGCGGAAUCACUGGGCUUAAAGCGUGUGUAGGCGGGUUCGUAAGUACGUUGUGAAAUCCCAUGGCUCAACCAUGGAACUGCUUGGUAUACUGCGGAUCUUGAGCCACCUAGGGGCAAGUGGAACAAACGGUGGAGCGGUGAAAUGCGUAGAUAUCGUUUGGAACGCCAAUGGUGAAAACAACUUGCUGGGGGUGUGCUGACGCUGAGACACGAAAGCCAGGGGAGCAAACGGG